CCAAACCAUCUCUCAGAGAGUAAAAUUUAACCAACGCCAAAUCAGAAAACGAAAACAAACACUGUUGAAAGGCCAUUUUCCGCCAUAUAUUAAUGAGCGUUCACAUAAAAAGCAAAUCUGUGUCUCAAGCUCAAGGUAAAACUAGAACAAAAUUUAUCUUUGCAAGAAGCAGCUCCGGCAGAGACCCAAAGCAAGUUUGUGGUGGGUCGGAUUUCAUCUUGUAGAAAUGGCCGUUGAUAGUGAGAGAUCAGUUGUUGACGUGAAGGUUUGGAGUCUUUGUAAAAUUCCGUUUUGGCACACGAGCAUUGCUUCGUCUUCUUCCUCUUCUGCUUCUGCUUCGGUUUCUGGUCAGAGUCAUAUUCAUCAAGCAGUUGAAAGGUCGAGCCUGCAUUCUUCGAAUGCCAUUUCGUCUAUGGCCAAGUCUCUGCUUCCUUCCCGGAGGAGGCUCCGGCUUGAUCCACCCAACAAGCUCUUCUUUCCCUAUGAACCUGGAAAGCAGGUCAAGAGUGCCGUUGGGAUUAAAAACACCUGCAAGUCUCAUGUAGCUUUCAAGUUCCAAACAACUGCACCAAAGAGUUGUUAUAUGCGUCCUCCAGGUGGUGUACUUGCUCCUGGUGAAAGUAUAAUUGCAACAGUUUUUAAGUUUGUUGAGCCUCCUGAGAACAAUGAGAAAUCGAUAGAUCACAAGAGCAAGGUUAAGUUCAAAAUCAUGAGCUUGAAGGUGAAAGGUGAAAUGGACUAUGUACCAGAACUGUUUGAUGAGCAAAGGGAUCACACAGCUGUUGAGCAAGUUUUGCGGGUAGUUUUCAUUGACCCGGAACGUCCUAGCCCUGCCCUGGAAAAGCUUAAGCGGCAGUUGGCUGAGGCUGAGGCUGCAGUUGAAGCAUGCAAGAAACCCCCAGAAGACACAGGUCCUCGAAUUGUUGGGGAAGGACUUGUUAUAGAUGAAUGGAAAGAACGGAGGGAAAGAUACCUUGCCCGGCAGCAGGUUGAAGGGGUGGAUUCAAAGUAAAGUACUGUUGUUUCCUCAUGUUUUGUGGACUUUUUUUUGUUUUUCCAAGUGGAGGUAGAGGCAAGCAACAGAAGCUGUCAGAAGUUGUCAUAGAUAGGGCUCCAUAUGGGCGUUUUCAGUAGACAUUGAUGAUAAACACUAGAAGAUUGUAAACAAGAGAAUUUGGAAUGCAGACAUGAAAAGUAUGCUUGGCAUUAUUUGUUCCCAUCAAAGUGACCACUGAUGUGUACCCAACUCUGCUGGCAUAGAGCACUUUUAGUGAUCAUGGAUAAUACACUAGAUGGAAACGUGGUCAGUUUUGUGAUUUAAUUACUUGGGUUGACCAUAUCAAAGUGAUCUAAAAUGCAUAGGCAGCUUAGGUGGAAAUAUGUGU
This is an RNA transcript of Juglans regia (Persian walnut), 1385 nucleotides long. It is a transcript of the gene named vesicle-associated protein 4-2-like, with no coding region annotated. The transcript is spliced from 8 exons. Lineage: Eukaryota; Viridiplantae; Streptophyta; Magnoliopsida; Fagales; Juglandaceae. The record is from RefSeq and is a predicted model, not a curated record.